Long non-coding RNA from Brassica napus (rape), 1842 nucleotides. RefSeq lists it as uncharacterized. The transcript is spliced from 3 exons. NCBI's taxonomy places the organism in Eukaryota, Viridiplantae, Streptophyta, Magnoliopsida, Brassicales, Brassicaceae. The record is from RefSeq and is a predicted model, not a curated record.
CUAUACUAUACUAAAAGGAAAAUAAGAAGCCUUUUUAGCUACGCCACAUCAGAUCAGAAAAUCAACCAAUGAGGUUGGAGCAAUGGGACAUGUCAUCUGUUUAUGAUAUUGAUUUGGGCUUCGUAUUUGAUUUUGGACUUUUUAUUUUACCUUUCUUUAUUUUGUUUAGGGCUUCUUCUCUUGCCUUUGUCGACUGAUUCUAUCUUCUAUUUUGGAUGAUCAUGCCUUUCUUCUCUUACCUUUCGACUUCCGUACCUUCCCUUGCUCUUCUCUUCAAAUCCAUUUUAACGCAUAUUUUCACCACUAACUUCUCUAAUCAAACCUUGCGUGAUCUCAUUCAAUGGAUUCUUUUCAUCUUCCUCUCUAUUUGUCUAUUUACAAAUCUCAUUCUCUUGACUUAUGUGUGGAUUAAAAUUGAAAAGCUUCUCUCAGACAAUCAUCCCAACCUAAAGGAAACUCUUCAAUCUCCAGCGACCGCAAGACCAAUGAGAAGACCGUCGCCUCCUCCGAGACUGCGAGACCAAACGGGAAGUCCACCGCUUCCUCCGCCAUUGUGAUGAAACCAAACGCUCCUACCGCUCUGUCCAAAUCCGAAUCGGACCAUCGAUUGCAUAGAGUUUUAGAUAUGCUGGAGCGUUGCCGUGGCUGUGUAACUUAAGUUGUAGCUCUGAAUCGGCCUAAAAAAAAGAAACAGAGGAAGAGUAACAGCAACAGGGGUUCUGGCGGAGUAACAGAAGUAGCCGUGGAGAGGCGGAGUGGAGACCAGGACGAGAUUAGCGGCGAGAAAUUUGAAAGAUGAUCAUUUACGCAUAUUUUUGGUUUAAUAUUUUUGGUUUAUGCUCAUUAAGGUGAUGAUUAAUGAUAUGUCUCUUAUCAGGUCCAAGUUGGAGGAUCACCGUUGUAUAAGGUAAAGAGAAAUCGGGGGGGAAGGUGGUCUUGGACAAGUGUUUGUUGGAUCACCGUUGUAUAAGGUUCGACAUGAUACUGUCAGUCCAGAAAUAUUUGAAACAGAAAGGUAAGCAAGUGCACUCAGGCAAGGGAUCCAAAUGUAAAUCAUCCUUGCUGGGAGAGACCAGAGACCAUGAAUGAAAAGAGACCCAUUAAAAUUGUGCAGACACUCCAGGGACUGAGGUUGCUGUGGAGACUGCUGCAGCCAUGGCUUCAAAAAUAUGCAAAGCAGCUGUUCAAUUUUGCAGACACGUACAUUGUACUGGAAGCUCAUAAGUCUUACAAUUCAACAUGGUACGGGAACGAGCCACUAUGGGCAGCUUCGAAAUCACAGAAACUGAAGAUCAGUAUUAUUCUCACUGGAGGUCAAGCACCUGGUGGGCACACUGUCAUAUAUGGACCAUUUGGUAAGUGUUUAAAAGACAUUUUUGUAUGUCUCAAAAUGAUGCUUUAUGUAUUGUUGUAUCUUAUUUGGUCUACUAUUGAUUUGUAAUUUUCUUUUCGGUUUCGGAUCACUUGCAGGAGCGUGAUAAAGAAAGUACAUUUUACGGAUUUAAGGAUGGUCCAGUUGGGAUCAGGAAAUGCAAAUAGGUUGUCUUAAAUGCAGAAUACAUUCAGCGUUAAAGGAACCAUGUAUCUGGACUGUAUUAAUAUAUGAGAUCUUUGCCAAAAACUUUGUGAAAGAUUGAGAUUCUACAAUUUUUCAUCAUCAUUUAGAACUGUUUGAUGUAGACAUUCCGGUACUCAAGCAUGUGUAUAGAGCUGCAACUUAACUUUCUUAGCUCUAGCUACAAAAUGACCUGAAUUUGACACGCUGGCUCUGUAUGUUUCAUGAAUUCUCUUUUAAUGACCAUGAAUGAACUUUAUAUAUACAUAACCUUAUUUUUGCAGAAA